CAGUCUUGAAAGAUGGGAAGAUCAGGAGCAGUCUGGAGUCAUGGUAUAUGAAUGAACUAGUGAGAGUGGGCACAAAGUCUGAAGAUCUUUGUAGUGCAGCUAAUGUCUAAGGGAGAAUAUACCUACCCUAGAAGAGACAUUAAACAACCAAUUCAACCAAUCUACAAAGGCCAAAAAUAUUUUCACAGGCCCCCAAAAGAUGAACUCCAAUCUGCUGCCCCUAAACGCAUUCUCCACUGUCUGGAAGAUGUGCAAAGGCAACGGCACAGCGUUCUCCAUCUCAAAUCCUUCAAAGUGCUGUCAGAAUAAAAGAAUCCCCACCAAAAGCCCCAGGGAAAUCUAUCUGUCUGUAUGGUAUGGUAAUGACUGAGGUUAUUCCAGAUAGGAUUCUGGGAGAAACUCAGCUAUUGAAAUCUAAUGAAUGGAACUGAGAAUUUCUUGUUAUAAUACUGUUUGUUUGAUUGAAUAUAUCCUUGCAUAUAGGAAGACAUAAAAUAAAUAAUAAAAGCAA
RNAcentral lists this long non-coding RNA (511 nucleotides) under Pan troglodytes (chimpanzee). RNAcentral's name for it is "lincRNA". The record is from RNAcentral. Lineage: Eukaryota; Metazoa; Chordata; Mammalia; Primates; Hominidae.